GUUGAAACACCGAUUUCCGCACGAUCCCUCCGAAGUUAAGCAAUGUCGAGCCUGGUUAGUACCUAGAUGGGUGACUGCUUGGGAACACCAGGUGCUGUAA
Acanthosepion pharaonis is the source of this 100-nucleotide non-coding RNA. Lineage: Eukaryota; Metazoa; Mollusca; Cephalopoda; Sepiida; Sepiidae. The record is from the annotation of a GenBank genome assembly.